RNAcentral lists this transfer-messenger RNA (348 nucleotides) under Clostridia. Its description in RNAcentral is "UBA1738 sp017621875 Standard tmRNA". It matches the Rfam family "transfer-messenger RNA". Rfam says of the family: Bacterial tmRNA, also known as 10Sa RNA or SsrA, is named for its dual tRNA and mRNA-like properties. The record is from RNAcentral. RNAcentral also lists the same sequence under 1 other name. Lineage: Bacteria; Bacillati; Bacillota.
GGGGAUGCAACGGCUUCGACGGGGAUGUUGAAGCUUCGGAAGCGAGUAGUGCCGGAUAACACUGAAACUGUCCAAUUUUUAAAAAUAAACGCUAACAAAAAUUUAGCUUACGCUGCCUAAUUAGGCUGGCCGUCUUACCCUGAUUACCACGGCAGGGAGCAAGGCGUCGUAUUAGUGGUGCACAUGAACCGUCUUUUGUUUUGGGGACGGUCAGGAACUAAAAACUACCGUAGCAUAUAACUUGAUUGUGAGGGAUAUGUGAGGGGAAUCUUAUAACACAAUCUACACUCGUAGAUGCCGGGGUGAAUAUGUUUUCGGACACGGGUUCAACUCCCGUCAUCUCCACCA